This is a long non-coding RNA of Bos taurus (domestic cattle), 1225 nucleotides long. NCBI's taxonomy places the organism in Eukaryota, Metazoa, Chordata, Mammalia, Artiodactyla, Bovidae. The record is from Ensembl.
AGGCAGGAACCACGCUGAUAGAGCUACUGAGCUAUUGACGUGUUCCACCCUUCAAGAAAAAGGAAGAGUGUGCUGGGCCCAGAGGACGAAGCCUUGAACCACAGAGGAUUCUUCUCAGGCCGCCCAGUUUGUGGUAUUCUGCUACAGCAGCCCCAGAACCAUAUGUCUCCAUCUACUUUGCAGACAGGCCAGGAAACGAACCGCCCUCUAAAGCAUCACUUCCAUUGGAAAAUGCAGCAGAAGGUCCAAACAACUCCAUAUGAGACUUCACAAGGCUGUGCAUUCUCUGCUUGUCCUCACCUUCCGUGGUAGGAGAACCCAGUGCCCGCACCCCACCUGCCACUCCUUUCCAGGGCACCUGCCCCGAGCCUCUAAAAAAGGGUCCAGCCUCAUUAAUCCCAGCACCAGCUCCACUGACCAGAAGUGGGAACAGAACAGCCGCUGCGUGGGGGGAGCCGCGUGAGUGUGGCGGAGAGGCAUGGGCAGCAGGCUUGGGCUGUUUGCACAUCCUGGGAGGGCCGAUCCUCCUUUAUGGAUAGCUGGGUUUCUGCAUCCUGCCCUUUACUCACUCUGGGGAACAUGCCCUAGACCUACUAACCCUCCAGCCUCCAGAAGAGAUAGAUGGCGGAAAUGAGUUGCCGUUCCCUAGCUCACACCUCCCUCCCCAGGGUGAGAGAAAGGGCCAGAGGUUGUGAUAGAAGAUGAAGGUAAAAUGCAGAGGUCACUGAGGAACCAGUGCCGCCUCGGACCUGGUGGGAGAGCACAUGGCACAGUGUGGCACUACCGCACCCCAGGACAGCAGCUGCUCAUGGUGCGACGGCCUGAAUAUGGCUGCCUACCCAGCGAGAGCCCAGGACGUGAGCCAGGCUCAAAGAACACAGCCUUGACCAUGGUCGUGCUCACAGCUCCCCACUCCUGAAGCCGGGAUCUCCUCACCUGGACGCUGCACACGGGCCUUGAGUGGCUCCUGGGUUGACAAGCAGCCCCUGCUGUCUUUGAAUUGAUGCCUUCUCUGCUCCUGCUGGUCUGUUUCUCACUGAGGAGGCUGAGGGACGAGACUAGGCAGUCCUUCUGGGAAGCAGGACCACCCUCGUCUUCAGACUAGCUGAAGGACCAACCUUGUGGCUUUUUACUUUCAAAAUGAAUCAGGGAAAAUUACCUCCUGGGUAAACCCACUGCUGUUCUGUUUCCAGAUGGGUGCCAAAAGCUUGAGAUACUAUGUGGC